RNAcentral lists this ribosomal RNA (494 nucleotides) under uncultured bacterium. RNAcentral describes it as "partial 16S ribosomal RNA". It matches the Rfam family "Bacterial small subunit ribosomal RNA", at positions 28 to 507 of the family's 1533-position model. The record is from RNAcentral.
GACGAACGCUGGCGGCGUGCUUAACACAUGCAAGUCGAACGGAAAGGCCUGCUUUCCCUUGUGGAUUGCGGGUACUCGAGUGGCGAACGGGUGAGUAACACGUGAGUGAUCUGCCCCCAACUUGGGUAUAAGCCUGGGAAACUGGGUCUAAUUCCCGAUAGGACUGCAGGGUGGUGCCUGUGGUGGAAAACGAUUUUCUAGUGGUUGGGGAUGAGCUCGCGGCCUAUCAGCUUGUUGGUGGGGUAAUGGCCUACCAAGGCGGCGACGGGUAGCCGGCCUGAGAGGGUGGACGGCCACAUUGGGACUGGGAUACGGCCCAGACUCCUACGAGAGGCAGCAGUUGGGAAUAUUGCACAAUGGGCGGAAGCCUGAUGCAGCGACGCCGCGUGGGGGAUGACGGCCUUCGGGUUGUAAACUCCUUUCGACCGCGAGGAAGCCACCUGGUUGGAAGGGUGGUGACGGUAGUGGUAGAAGAAGCACCGGCUAACUACGUG